CAACAGGGAUUGCCCUAGUAACGGCGAGUGAAGCGGCAACAGCUCAAAUUUGAAAUCUGGCUUCGGCCCGAGUUGUAAUUUGCAGAGGAUGUUUCUGGCGCGGUGCCUUCCGAGUUCCCUGGAACGGGACGCCACAGAGGGUGAGAGCCCCGUAUGGUUGGACACCAAGCCUGUGUGAAACUCCUUCGACGAGUCGAGUAGUUUGGGAAUGCUGCUCUAAAUGGGAGGUAAAUCUCUUCUAAAGCUAAAUACCGGCCAGAGACCGAUAGCGCACAAGUAGAGUGAUCGAAAGAUGAAAAGCACCUUGAAAAGGGGGUUAAACAGUACGUGAAAUUGUUGAAAGGGAAGCGCUCAUGACCAGACUUGUGCCGGGCGGUUCAUCCGGGGUUCUCCCCGGUGCACUCCGCCCGGUUCAGGCCAGCAUCGGUUCUCGUUGGGGGAUAAGAACGGUAGGAACGUGGCCCUCCUUCGGGGGGGUGUUAUAGCCUGCCGUACGAUACCCUGACGGGGACCGAGGUUCGCGCUCCGCAAGGAUGCUGGCGUAAUGGUCAUCAGCGACCCGUCUUGAAACACGGACCAAGGAGUCGCCCAUUAGAGCGAGCGUUUGGGUGUAAAACCCGCACGCGUAAUGAAAGUGAAAUUAGGUGAGAGCUUCGGCGCAUCAUCGACCGAUCCUGAUGUUCUCGGAUGGAUUUGAGUAAGAGUUUUAACGGACGGACCCGAAAGACAGUGAACUAUGCUUGUAUAGGGUGAAGCCAGAGGAAACUCUGGUGGAGGCUCGCAGCGGUUCUGACGUGCAAAUCGAUCGUCAAAUAUGAGCAUGGGGGCGAAAGACUAAUCGAACUGUCUAGUA
Molecule: ribosomal RNA, 853 nt
Filed under: Harknessia fusiformis
Lineage: Eukaryota; Fungi; Ascomycota; Sordariomycetes; Diaporthales; Harknessiaceae
Description: eukaryotic LSU rRNA
Rfam family: Eukaryotic large subunit ribosomal RNA
Source: RNAcentral